This 5970-nucleotide long non-coding RNA is filed under the name Solanum tuberosum (potato). Its description in RNAcentral is "long non-coding RNA (STUB_LNC011683)". The record is from RNAcentral. Lineage: Eukaryota; Viridiplantae; Streptophyta; Magnoliopsida; Solanales; Solanaceae.
GGCCAUGUCCAUGAUGUAGACUCGAAUAAUGAAAAUAUACAUAUAUAUACCUGAUUUUUCCUAAGUUAACAGGUGCACGUGCACCCUCACGAGAACAUGUAGGUUCACCUCUGAGUGGAGAAGACUGGAGCUCAACAACAACCUAGAAUGCAUCAACAAUUUCAACAGCUUCAAAAAGGAAAAGUUAAAAUCUUGUCUAGUGAAAAAGUAAUAGGCUAUCCAAGAGCGUGGAAGGUGGUUGGGUGUAAAGCCAACAAACAAGUAGUUGAUACUUCUAUUCAAAAUACUAACAGGUUUGCAGCUUUGUUGGAUGAUCCACAAGCAAUCAGAUCAAACAAUGAUGAGAAUCAAGAAUCAACAAGUUAGCAUGAGGAUAUAACUGAUCAACCGAGUAAGCAUGUGAAGUCUAGAAAGGAAUGGGUGUUACAAACUUUUGGGAAGCAAGAACUUCCUACACAAAGGAAGGAUGCCAACUCAAUAAGUGAACAACCGAGGAUUCAGAGUCUUGAAAAACCUUUAGAUACCCUGCAAAGUGUAGUUACACAUUCGGAUAAAGAGAGAGCAAAAAAGGCUGAAGGGGAAAAUGAAUUGAUUAAUCAGAAGAGUACCAUUUUCGGGAGUGUGGAGUAUCAAUGUAGUGCUAACAGUGAAGAUGAUCUAUCCAUUACUAUUAAUUCAGUAACCCUGUAUAGCCCAGUGUUAGAUAAUAUUGAAGAGAAUAAGAAUGAAGGGGAGGUGAUUACAGAAGAUAAUGUAUCAAAAGUAAUUAUAGCACUACCACACCAACAAGUUGUUGUUUUACCAGUAGCCAUGAGCAGUCCUGCAAUUCAAGUCAAUAAUCAACAGUUAGAUAACCAAGUUUCAAUGUUAGUUGAAAGAGUGCAGGCAGGGGAUGUGGAUGUGAAUGGAAAGAAAAAUCUCAAGACAUGUCUCUCACAGGCAAUAAUUGAGGUUCCAAGGGUGGUUCAAUUGGAUGAUAGUCAGUUGAUUCAAAUGGAAUCCCCUAAUAGAAUGUGACAUACCAUUAUUUCUUAUAAUUUCGAUGUAGAAAACAGUUGUAACAAUGGAUCACAUGGUACACUAAUUGCUAAAGGUUUAAUGGAGGAGGACAAUAUUGAUGAAUUCUGGUUUGUUCAACUUGAGGCAGACCUAUCACCAAGACGGUUAAACAGUGCAAGAAAAGGGAAAAAACAAGGGAAUGGUGAUAAAAUGUACCUAUCAGAGUUCACCCUAAAAGGGUCAAAACAGGUCCUAAUAAACAAUGAAUGCUCUUAUAUGGAAUAUUAGAUCUUUCAGAUCCCAACAAGCUUUUCAAAGAGUAAAGAUGUUGCAUAACCACCAUAUCAACAUGUAUAAGAGACGAUUGAGCAUGUCAUUUGUUACUCCCAAUUCAAAUAGCAAAAUUUAGUUCUUUGCAAAUAAUGGGCUUCAUGCUACUGUUGUAAAGAGCUCAGAUCAAUCAAUUACCGUUAAGCUUCACAAUCAGCUAACCUCACAUAUUUUCUUUGUAGCACUAGUCUAUGACAAAUGUACCAAUGAAGAAAGAUUGGUAUUGCAUAUUUGAGGUGGCAUCAUCAAUGACUAAUCCUUGGCUAGUAUGGGGUGAUUUUAAUGUGGUAUUGAAUGUUGAAGAAAAAAUUGGUGGUCUACCAAUUCAUGAUCUUGAACAUGAGGAUUUUGAUAAUUGCAUUUCAUCUUGUGAUCUUACAUAAAUCCAAUUUAAGGGAAGACCUUUAACUUGGUGGAAUGGAAGGGAUGGACAUAACUACAUUUUUGAAAGAUUGGACAGAAUCCUAAUGAAUCAAGAGAUGCAAGAAAGGUUUACCCAUAUGGAGGUGGAGCACUUAGCAAGGACAGGAUCAGAUCAUGCCCCUAUGUUUCUGUCUUGCAAGGUUGGAGAGAUUAGUAAUAGGAAACCUUUUAGAUUUCUUAAGUUCUAGGUUGAUAAUCCAAAUUUCUUGGAGGUAGUUAGACAAAAUUGGUUUGUUAAUGAGUCCCAAAAUCCCUAUUUUGACUUUAGAGAUAAUAUCAAUAGAGUCAAAGCAACAUUAACAAAAUGGAGCAGAGAAACAUAUGGAGACAUUUUUAAGUAGCUUAUUAUCAGGGAGGAUAUUGUUAAGAUUAAAAACAAGUUAUUUGAAGAAUUCCCAAAUGCUGAGAACAGGAAAGUGCUACACAGAGCACAGACUGAAUAUAAGAAAUACUUGCAUUUUGAAGAGAUAUUUUGGCAACAAAAGGCUAGGUAUGAUUGGUUUGAUAGUGGAGACAAAAAUACUAAGUUCUUUCACAGUAUUGUGAAGGUUAGGAGAAGAAAGCUACAACUGCAAAGAAUUCAAGAUGCUCACGGUACAUGAUUAGAAGAGGCAGGUGAAAUUGCAGAGAUGGUUGUACAUUUUUUUUCAAAGUCAGUUUUUACAAGAGAGGGAUGCUACUGAUUUCUCUUUGUUGAGAAAUAUCCCCUCUCUUAUAAAUAAAGCAGAAAAUGAUGCCUCGUGCAAACAACCUUAUAUAGAAGAAGUCAAGAGAGAAAUGUUCAACCUAAAUGGGGAUAGUGCAAGUGGGCCAGAUGGUUUAACCGAUAGAUUUUACCAGUCAUGUUGGGAGAUUUUAGGUAAUGAUAUCCUAAGGUUGGUUCAAUAUUUUCUCAAUGGUAAUACACUUUACUCAUACUAAUUUGGUCUUUUUGCACAAGAAAGAGAUUAUUCAAUUUUUUUCUGACUUAAGGACAAUUAGUUUAAGCCAUUUUAUCAACAAAAUCAUCUCCAGGGUUGUGCAUGAUAGGCUUGAGGUAUUACUACCUAAAUUGAUUUUGUAUAAUCAAUCUGGUUUUGUUAAAGGGAGGAGUAUCAUAGAAAAUAUUUUGAUGACAUGAAAGAUAGUUACUGAUAUCAGAAAGAGGGGUAAGUCUGCUAAUGUGGUCAUUAAGUUGGAUAUGUCUAAGGCAUAUGAUACAGUCUCUUGGUUUUUUCUUAUGAAAGUGUUGAGAAAGAUGGGUUGUUCAGAGAGAUUUAUAGAUUUGAUUUGGAGACUACUUGCUAAUAACUGAUAUUCAGUGUUGAUUAAUGGUCAACCUCAUGGUUUCUUUUACUCUACUAGAGGUGUAAAACAGGGUGAUCCUUUAUCACCUACUCUUUUCGUAUUUUCAUCUGAAGUUUUGACUAGGGCUUUAAACGCUUUAUUUGAGGAUGAUCAAUAUGUAGGCUAUGGAUUACCAAAAUAGAGCACUAAUCUAAAUCAUCUUGCUUAUAUUAUGCAGAUGACACUAUUAUUUUUCCAUCAGCUAAUGCAUAUUCCUUGAAGAAAAUAGUGUCAAUUUUGCAGGAUUAUGAGAGUCAAUCUGAAAAGAAAGUAAAUAAGGAUAAAAGUUCAGUUUAUCUUCAUCAGAAGCUACAACUGAAGUUAAACAACUAGUGGAAGAUUGUACAGGUAUAAAAUGGGUCUUUUUUCUUUUAAAUACCUAGGUUGUCCUAUUACUCAUUCAAGGAAAAGAAAAAAGCACUAUGCAAAGCUAAUUCAAAAAGUGAAGGCCAAGUUGCAAGCUUGGAAAGGAAAUAUGCUAAUAUAUGGAGGUAAAGAGGCAUUGAUAACCAAUGUGUUACAAAGUAUUCCAUUCAUGUGCUUUCUACUAUAGUUCCUCCUAAUUUUAUCUUAAAGGAUCUUCAUAGAAUUUUUGCUAAAUUCUUUUGGAGUAAUAAAGUCUCAGGAAGGAGUAAGCAUUGAGCUGCUUGGGAGAAGGUUUUCUUGCCUAAACAAGAAGGUGGUUUAGGAUUUAGGUCCAUGUUUGAUAUCCCAAAAGCCAUAUAUGCAAAGCUCUGGUGGAGAUUCAGAACGCAAAACACCCUAUGGGCAAAUUUCAUGUGGAACAUGUAUUGUAAGAAGCAGAGUCCUACACUUGUUCAAUGGAAAGGGGGCUUUCAAGUGUGGAAGAAUAUGUUGCAAAAUAGAGAAUGUAUUGAACAAUUCUUAUGGUGGGAACCUAAGGGGGUACUUCUUCAGUUUGUUAUGAUAAUUGGACUAUGCUAGGUCCUUUAUAUCUUCAACAUACAGAAGUGCACACAUGUCACCCAAUGAUAGAUGUUGAUAAAUUCUUGAAGGAAGCUGGUUGGGUUUAUGUUAAUAUGGAACAUCAUUUACCAGAGAAUGUGGUUAACCAGGUUAGAUUGCAUAUGAGUCAUAUUUUGAUGGCUGAUCAAGGGGACAAGCCUUGGUGGACAAAAACAAGCACUGGAAAGUUGUCUAGGAUUUGUUAAGAAAAAAGAGAGGAUGUAAAUGUGUACUUUAAGCAAAUUUGGGGGAAGGGUCUUCCUUUUAAGGUUGCAUUAUUUGGGUGGAGAGCAUGGUCAAAUAGAGUUCAUGUAGCUACUGUAAUGGCUAAUUGGAAUCCCAAUAUUUCUCAAUUAUGCACUUGUUGUAGUGAUCCUAGUAGAGAAACCUUAGAGAAUUUAUUUAUAAAAAGGGAGAUUGUGAACAUAGUCUGGAAAUACUUCACAUAUGCUAGGCAAACAAUAGUAAUUCAAACACUUCCUAUUAUAGUAUUAUGGUUUUUAUGGAAGAGAAGAAAUACACUGGUUCAUGGUGGCUCUUAUUGGUUAUCUGGGAUACAAAUAGCAAGGUGCAAAAGUUUAUGACAUGUAGAUUUGGGUACAAGGAUGUCCCUAAUACUUGGCCUCUUAUGGUGGCACUUCUAGAUGGUUUCAGGCCCUGUUUUAUAUCCAGAUGGGUAAGGUGGAAUCCUCUUAUUGAAGGUUGGUGGAAGGUGAAUACUAAUGGAGCUUCAAAAGGAAAUUCAGGUCUUAGUGCUGCAGUAUUUUGUAUUAGACAUAGCAAUGGAAACCUAGUUGUUGCAAGAGGGUCGAAAUUACCAGACACUACUAAUCUAGUUGCUGAGGUUGUGGCUAUUAGAGAGGCUUUGCAAUACUCUUGGGAGAAGGGAUAUAACAACAUUAUUGUAGAAACUAAUUUGUUGGCAUUGGUACAUAUGUUAAAUGGUGUUUGGAAUAUACCAUGGAGUGUGGCUUUGGAAGUCAACUCCAUUAAUAGGCUAAUACUAUCAGUAAGAGUACAACACUCUUUAAGGGAGGGAAAUAUUCUUGCUGAUUUUUUUUCCUAACCUGGUAUUUUAUUUUGUUUUGUAGGUAACUAUGAAUUUACAAAUUUCUAGGAGGUCCAAUCACAAGCAGAAGAUUCCAAAUAUGAGAAUUAGACUGUCAAAUGUUACAAGUUACUAAAAUUGUGCGUUAAUCUACAGGUUCAUGGUGAAAUUUUAAGCAAGCUAGAUUAAAACUAUAUCUCAAUGCCUCUAGAGUCUGAAGUAACUUUGUUUGGUCAAUAUACCAUGCACCUGGUGAAAGCUUUGAGGUGUAUCAUGUGGUAUAAAACACUAAGAAGGUAAUGGCAUUCAAGUCUUAUAGGAAUUGCAAGAUCACUCUUUGUUAAAGGCGUUAAAUAUGCAAUCUCAGUCCGAUAAUGAAGAAAAUCAGAUAGAGUGCUAUUGGGUAAACAUACCUAAAGAGAUGAUUGAAGAUGAAGUCGAAAAUAAUUCACAAGCUCUACAACAGACAUUACAACAAUCAACAAAAUUAGUGAAAUUUACCCGAGUUCAGAAAUAGGUGGUGGUAUUAAUCCCUUGGUUGGAUUCAACCCACUUAAACCUAUAUUUGGGUAAGGAUUAUCUGAUUUUAGGUUGAGAAGGUACCAGAUGAAUCAAAAUGGGAGAUUAGAUCUAUCGAUUUACUACUCGAUAAAGUUCAGAUCUAAUCACCAAUUCAAAAUAACAAUUGAUCAAGAUCAGGAGCAUACCUAUCCCUUGAAGAUGAAUCAAAAUGGCAUUUGAGAGAUGAACAAGAACGGAAGGAGUAAGCCUGAAUUUGAGACAAGUUCCACUCUCUUUUUUGCUACUAUUUUGCCCUUCCACUUUCCUAUAUCUUUUGUGUUGUAAAUAUUUUGUUUUAUGAAGUGAGCUGGUUGUCC